This 119-nucleotide ribosomal RNA is filed under the name Cyanistes caeruleus (blue tit). Lineage: Eukaryota; Metazoa; Chordata; Aves; Passeriformes; Paridae. The record is from RNAcentral.
GCCUACAGCCAGACCGCCCUGAGAGCGCCCGAUCCCGACUGAUCUCGGAAGCUAAGCAGGGUCGGGCCCGGUCAGUACUUGGAUGGGAGACCGCCGGCGAACACCGGGUGCUGUAGACU